RNAcentral lists this ribosomal RNA (468 nucleotides) under uncultured bacterium. RNAcentral's name for it is "partial 16S ribosomal RNA". It matches the Rfam family "Bacterial small subunit ribosomal RNA", at positions 28 to 507 of the family's 1533-position model. The record is from RNAcentral.
GACGAACGCUGGCGGCGUGCUUAACACAUGCAAGUCGAACGGAAAGGCCCUGCUUUUGUGGGGUGCUCGAGUGGCGAACGGGUGAGUAACACGUGAGUAACCUGCCCUUGACUUUGGGAUAACUUCAGGAAACUGGGGCUAAUACCGGAUAGGAGCUCCUGCUGCAUGGUGGGGGUUGGAAAGUUUCGGCGGUUGGGGAUGGACUCGCGGCUUAUCAGCUUGCUGGUGGGGUAGUGGCUUACCACGGCUUUGACGGGUAGCCGGCCUGAGGGGGUGACCGGCCACAUUGGGACUGAGAUACGGCCCGGACUCCUACGGGAUGCAGCAGUGGGGAAUAUUGCACAAUGGGCGGAAGCCUGAUGCAGCAACGCCGCGUGCGGGAUGACGGCCUUCGGGUUGUAAACCGCUUUCGCCUGUGACGAAGCGUGAGUGACGGUAAUGGGUAAAGAAGCACCGGCUAACUACGUG